GUGCUUGCUUCAGCAGCACAUCCACUAAAAUUGGAAAAAUACAGAGAAGAUUAGCAUGGUCCCUGCUAAUGACACACAAAUUUAUUUUUUU
RNAcentral lists this small nuclear RNA (91 nucleotides) under Sorex araneus (European shrew). The record is from RNAcentral. Lineage: Eukaryota; Metazoa; Chordata; Mammalia; Eulipotyphla; Soricidae.